AAACUUUCAACAACGGAUCUCUUGGCUCUGGCAUCGAUGAAGAACGCAGCGAAAUGCGAUAAGUAAUGUGAAUUGCAGAAUUUAGUGAAUCAUCGAAUCUUUGAACGCACAUUGCGCCCCUUGGUAUUCCGAGGGGCAUGCCUGUUCGAGCAUC
This 154-nucleotide ribosomal RNA is filed under the name Erysiphe neolycopersici. RNAcentral describes it as "Oidium neolycopersici 5.8S ribosomal RNA". It matches the Rfam family "5.8S ribosomal RNA". From Rfam's summary of the family: 5.8S ribosomal RNA (5.8S rRNA) is a component of the large subunit of the eukaryotic ribosome. It is transcribed by RNA polymerase I as part of the 45S precursor that also contains 18S and 28S rRNA. Functionally, it is thought that 5.8S rRNA may be involved in ribosome translocation. The record is from RNAcentral. Lineage: Eukaryota; Fungi; Ascomycota; Leotiomycetes; Helotiales; Erysiphaceae. RNAcentral also lists the same sequence under 2 other names.